This 929-nucleotide long non-coding RNA is filed under the name Papio anubis (olive baboon). Its description in RNAcentral is "lncRNA (ENSPANG00000039614.1)". Lineage: Eukaryota; Metazoa; Chordata; Mammalia; Primates; Cercopithecidae. The record is from RNAcentral.
UCUGAUGGAAGACGGAAUGAAGCCGUUGGCUGAGCCAGCAGGUGCAAGCUUCAAGCGAGUGAGGCUCCAACUUCCAAGCAGCUACCGGAAUGAGCUUUUUAGGAUCAUGCUGCUCCUGGAUGAAUCCAUUCAGUGUCUUCUUCCUGACAGCUACAAAAGAGAAGAUGUCUAAUUUCAUGGUGAGGAUGCAGCAAGAAGGCAACAUCAAUGAGGAAUUAGGCCCUCACCAGGUACAAAAUCUGCCAUUAUCUUGAUCUUGAACUUCCUACCCUCCACAACUGUGAGUAAUAAAUGUUUGUUGUUUAUAAGCCACCCAGCCUAUGGUAUUUUGUCAUAGAAGCAUGAGUAGACUAAGCCUUCAUUUUCAAAGUGAACCAAUACACAGUUCAAGAUAAUUACUUCAGCCAAGCCAUCUCAUCCGUAUUCUAGACGCAGGAAGGUAAAUGGAUGAGGAGGAAGGGGACAAAGUGUGUGCUCUGGCUGCUUUUAAGGAAGAUUCCAAAAACAAGUCCCAUGAUAUUUCCCUGAACAUAUUAGACAGAAGUUACACAUCAGCCACACUCAACUACUAGACAGAAGUUACACACCAGCCAUGAACUCAUCUAGAAUUUGUGGAUCCUCUCAUUUGGAAGAAAGGUGGUAUGAACAUUGAAAGAAUAACUAGCAGUCUGUCACCCUCCCUGUAUGUAAUAGGCAAUGAUUUUGUCAACAUCUAUGCCUUUGUAUUUCCUCAUAGAUAGGACUAAGAUAUUUCAUAAUCACCAAAUUACAUCAGAAUUAUAAGUGAUAAUAUUAUUUAGUACCUUAGAGAUAAUAGAAGAAAUUUUAAAAUGUCAUGAACUUUGCUUCUUGCAUCUCUUCUGUUCCCGGUGUUCAAGUAAGAGACUAUUGAUAAUUGAGGAAAAUACCUUUGGGUGUCUUAUAUCCCC